AAUCAACGCUGGCGGCGUGCCUAACACAUGCAAGUCGCACGAGAAAGGGACUUCGGUCCUGAGUACAGUGGCGCACGGGUGAGUAACACGUGACUAACCUACCUCCGAGUGGGGAAUAACCUAGAGAAAUCUGGGCUAAUACCGCAUAACACUUACGAGUCAAAGCAGCAAUGCGCUUGGAGAGGGGGUCGCGGCAGAUUAGUUAGUUGGCAGGGUAAUGGCCUACCAAGACGAUGAUCUGUAUCCGGCCUGAGAGGGCGGCACGGACACACUGGAACUGAAACACGGUCCAGACUCCUACGGGAGGCAGCAGUGGGGAAGUUUUGCGCAAUGGGGGAAACCCGUGACGCAGCAACGCCGCGUGGAGGAUGAAAUCCCUUGGGAUGUAAACUCCUUUCGAUCGGGAAGAUAAUGACGGUACCGAGAGAAGAAGCCCCGGCUAACUUCGUGCCAGCAGCCG
This 460-nucleotide ribosomal RNA is filed under the name uncultured bacterium. RNAcentral describes it as "bacterial SSU rRNA". It matches the Rfam family "Bacterial small subunit ribosomal RNA", at positions 32 to 517 of the family's 1533-position model. The record is from RNAcentral.